UGUACGUAACCUGGGGACUGCCUGUACUCAAAAAAUUAAAUCCUUUACCUUGUUCUUGUUCUAUAGUUCCUUAAAAUAUUAUUGGCUUUGUAUUCGAAAUCCAAUAGAUGAUUUUUUUAUGUAUUGACUUGAGCCCUUCAGAAUAGAGCCCAACACUAGAAUUAUCAUCUGAAAGGAAUAGGAGGGGAUUUAUGAAUUGCAGGAAGGCGGCUCCUAUUGGUGGUAACUGUGCUGCAAUAAUGGAAAGGAGUGUUUUCUGAAAAAAAAGUACAUAUAAAAUUGUAUUAUCUAAAAAUACAUUUUGCGUCUACUGCUUCCUGUAUAACACCCCCUGCACGCGCGCUUCCGUGUGCGCACACAAACAUCCCAAGUCGAUAGGAUAUAUAAACAACCAUAUGCAUGUUCAAUAAACAAGAAGUCAUGCUUUUGUUUAAGUAGGUAGCCAGGCAUUGCUAUAGAGCCUAUAGUACACUCCAACAUAGUGCAGAGUGGUGAAUACCGUGCUGUUAGAGAUGAUACAUAAAACUCAAGUCCCGACUUCAUGGCUAUUUAAAUCCCUCCAGUGCUUUAUGUAAAAGCAAAGGGUGAAUGUACUCAACUUUUAAUUGGGUAAACUCUUCAAAGGGACUGGGCUGGAAUGGAAUCACUCAUUCUUUUUCCAGCUCUCUGACUUUGUGUGCUUCUAUUUCCCCAUCUGUAAAAUUAAGGUAUUUUCCUACCCGUUAAGGAUGAGCUGCUUAAUUCAUCCAUGUAGGUAAAGUGCUUUAGGAUCAUUAGCUGAACUGUGCAAUAGAGGUGUGAGUACUAUUGCCAAAAUUGAUGCUGAUCAUUCUAUUUCUUUUCCAUAGGUUUAUAAAAUUUCCCCAAAAUUCUCUUUCUUGGUGACAUCAGGUCCUUUUGUUUACACGGCAAUAGCUGUCAUAAACGUGCUUAUGAACAGCAAUCUUCUUCAAGGUCAGGCACCUGUAAUCCUGUCACUGCAGCCUUCUUUCACCAUGCCAGAGCCCAGGUUCCAAGCUCGCACAGUUCUUCAGUUUGUGA
This is a non-coding RNA of Pelodiscus sinensis (Chinese soft-shelled turtle), 1041 nucleotides long. NCBI's taxonomy places the organism in Eukaryota, Metazoa, Chordata, Testudines, Trionychidae. The record is from RefSeq and is a predicted model, not a curated record.